RNAcentral lists this ribosomal RNA (466 nucleotides) under uncultured bacterium. Its description in RNAcentral is "partial 16S ribosomal RNA". It matches the Rfam family "Bacterial small subunit ribosomal RNA", at positions 28 to 507 of the family's 1533-position model. The record is from RNAcentral.
GAUGAACGCUGGCGGCGUGCUUAACACAUGCAAGUCGAACGGAAAGGCCACAGCUUGCUGUGGUACUCGAGUGGCGAACGGGUGAGUAACACGUGGGUGAUCUGCCCUGUACUUCGGGAUAAGCUUGGGAAACUGGGUCUAAUACCGGAUAGGAAUCACAUGUGGGUGUGUGGUUGGAAAGCUUUUGCGGUAUGGGAUGAGCUCGCGGCCUAUCAGCUUGUUGGUGGGGUAAUGGCCUACCAAGGCGUCGACGGGUAGCCGGCCUGAGAGGGUGUACGGCCACAUUGGGACUGAGAUACGGCCCAGACUCCUACGGGAGGCAGCAGUGGGGAAUAUUGCACAAUGGGCGCAAGCCUGAUGCAGCGACGCCGCGUGGGGGAUGACGGCCUUCGGGUUGUAAACUCUUUUCGUCAGGGACGAAGCGAAAGUGACGGUACCUGGAUAAGAAGCACCGGCUAACUACGUG